AGGUUACAUGGUCAAAUCAGUUGUAUAUUACAUUGAAGUUUCUAAUUGUUUUUUCCAAAGCCUGUAAUUCUUCAGUUCAGAUUAAGCCUGGUGAACCUCUGGUGCUGGAUUUGCUCAUAUCAGAGUCAGUGGAGGUGAUUUAUAACAGCACAGGUGCAGCUGCUCCCUCUAGUGGACAGAUCUGUACAGUGGCUGGACACUCACUGAAGUGUAAACCUGAAUACACUCAGAGAGUGUUGCUUAUCUCUGCUGUGGAGCUGCAAGGAACCACACCAUCUGAUAGUGGAGUUUACAUCAUCAGAGACACUAAGCAUGAAGAGAUUAUACAGACAUACACAGUUACUGUGGAAGAAGUCCAGCCAUGUCCAGAUCAGAGCUCAACAGUGACGGUGUUGACGGUGCUCCUGGCUCUGACAGGGGCGGGGCUUGUGGCAGGAGGGCUGGUGAUUGUGCAGCUGAAGAAAAAAAAUUCAGCAGCUCCAGAAAGGAAGUACAGUGAAUGGAACAGUUACCAUCAUAAGAGAGGAGUUAAUACGAAUGGACUAAACCACUCAGAUGAAGAGCAGAGGGUAUCUCCCAUGAAAAAGUCUGAGAGAUGAUAAAUGAUUUUGCUCUCUUGUGUAUACACACACACACACACACACACACACAAACGUGCCCACCGAGCCUUGGCCGAAGAGUACCAAUGUGCCCCACAAGGACCAUAAAGAGGGCAGUUGGGUGGAGCCAACGGGAUCUCUGGGCUGGUGCAGGGCUGGUGCCAGAGUCCCUUCCCUUCUGUGGACUCGCCAGCAAGACUGGAGGGGUCUGCCCAAAGCCUCGGAGGUAAUUGGUCUUUGGGGCUCUCCAAGAGCAGUGAAGGAGAGGAGGACCAUUCGGGGGAGCAGUAUGUGUGGAACUGGGCGGACUUGCCCAAGUGCUGCAGGGCAAGGGGCAGGAUGCGCGGACAAACAUUUAUUAAUACACAAAGACAAUGGCACUCACAUAUAAUACCAACGAUGAACAUGAACACGAAACAUACAUAUAUAGAAUACAUACACAGAAUAUAUAUAUUUAUCUUGCAUAUAUACAUUUCACAUAUAGAGAAUAUCUAUAUUUCUCUAUGCACCACUGUUUUCUUUUCCUCAGUUUGGACAGAGCACUCUCCACCAUUUCACUGCGAGUUAUACUGUGUAUGACUAUGUAUGUGACGAAUAAACCAAACUUGAACUUGAAACAGUUAACAUUAAACAAAAGUAAUGAACAUGAAUACAUUUAACAACGACGAUAAGAACAAGCAUACAAGGACGAUUCUAACAUUAACAUCAACAAUGACCAACAGUCCUGCACACUAUGACAAGGGUUUAAAUACACACAAACAAGGUACAGGUUUGUGCAGAUGUGGUUACAGACAAACAAAACCCUCCCACUGCAUGCAGCAGGCCAAACCACAUGAUUCAUGAGAGGCAAGCAUUCCGUUAUAGUUAGAGACAUGAUGUAUCUGUUUACAAAAUAUAUAUGGUAAG
Molecule: long non-coding RNA, 1505 nt
Organism: Electrophorus electricus (electric eel)
Lineage: Eukaryota; Metazoa; Chordata; Actinopteri; Gymnotiformes; Gymnotidae
Source: Ensembl